UACGUAGGGUGCAAGCGUUGUCCGGAAUUAUUGGGCGUAAAGAGCUCGUAGGCGGUCUGUCGCGUCUGCUGUGAAAACCUGGGGCUUAACUCCGGGCCUGCAGUGGGUACGGGCAGACUAGAGUGCGGUAGGGGAGACUGGAAUUCCUGGUGUAGCGGUGAAAUGCGCAGAUAUCAGGAGGAACACCGGUGGCGAAGGCGGGUCUCUGGACAGUUCCUGACACUGAGACACGAAGGCCAGGGGAGCAAACGGG
This 253-nucleotide ribosomal RNA is filed under the name uncultured bacterium. Its description in RNAcentral is "partial 16S ribosomal RNA". It matches the Rfam family "Bacterial small subunit ribosomal RNA", at positions 524 to 776 of the family's 1533-position model. The record is from RNAcentral.